AUUUUUUUGUCUUCCUAUACCAGAUUCCCAUGUCUGUUGUUCCUUUGAUGUAUCUGAGCACUCUUUUUGCAGCUUGAAAAUGCAAAACACUUGGUUCUUGUCUAAACCGUGAGAGCAAAUUUGUAGCAUACAUGAUGUCUGGUCUGGUAAUGGUUAAAUACAGCAAGCUUCCAACCAAACUUCUAUACACUUUCUCAUCCGCUUUUGGACUCUCAUCAUCUUUUACCAGCUUCGGAUUUUGAACCAAGGGAGUCUUGACCAGCUUGCAAUUUUCUAUAUUGAAUUUCUUCAAAAUUUCUUUGGCAUACCUUCUUUGACAGAUAAAAAUACCUUCUUGUGAUUGAUUUACUUCCAUUCCAAGAAAGUAUUUCAUUUUCCCCAAAUCAGUCAUCUCAAAUGCCAACAUCAUUUCAGCUUUUACUUUGUCAAUUAAAGGUUCAUUGCUGCCGGUUAUUAGAAGAUCAUCAACAUACAGAGAGAUAAUGAUUGAUUCUUCCUCCACUUGCUUAAUGUAUAAGGUUUGCUCAUUGACACUUUUCACAAAACUAAGACAACUCAAAUGCUCAUCAACUCUGCUGUACUAGGCUAUUGGAGCCUGCUUCAAGCCAUAUAAUGCCUUCUUCAAAAGAUACACCUUAUCUUCAUUUCCUUCCACCAAGAAGCCUUCAGGUUGCUCAAUGAAAAUUUCUUCAUUUAGGUAACCAUUUAGGAAGGCAGACUUCACAUCCAAUUGAUGAAUUUUCCAGCCACUUUGAGCAGCAAUUGCAAGCAAUAAUCUG
RNAcentral lists this long non-coding RNA (779 nucleotides) under Olea europaea subsp. europaea. The record is from RNAcentral. Lineage: Eukaryota; Viridiplantae; Streptophyta; Magnoliopsida; Lamiales; Oleaceae.